RNAcentral lists this long non-coding RNA (1186 nucleotides) under Numida meleagris (helmeted guineafowl). RNAcentral's name for it is "lncRNA (ENSNMEG00000003892.1)". Lineage: Eukaryota; Metazoa; Chordata; Aves; Galliformes; Numididae. The record is from RNAcentral.
ACAUGGGUGGCCCCAUAGGGACUUGGGUGGCCCCAUAGCGACGUGGUGGCCCCAUAGCGAUGUGGGUGAACCCAUAGGGACGUGGGUGGCCCCAUAGGGAUGUUGUCGCCCCAUAGGGACGUGGGUGGCCCCAUAGGGACGUGGUGCCCCCCCAGGAUGCUGGCGGCCCCAUAAGUGUGGGGCGCGGUGCGGGGGGGCGGUGUGGGGCGGUUGUGGGUCGGGGCGCGACGCUGUUGGCUGCUAAUAAAAAGAGAGAGCGACCGCACGCCUCCGCCCCACGGAUGGACCCACAGCGCUGCCCCAUAGCGACCCACAGAGACCCACCGAGCCCCAUAGAUCCCAUAGNGAGGAGGAAGGGGUUGGGGGCAGCCAGGAGGAGCUUGGUGGCAUCUUGGAGGAGUUUGGGGACAAGUAAGGGGAGCUUGGUGGCAUCUUGGAGGACCUGGGUGGCACCUUGGAGGACCUUGGAGACAAGUAAAGGCACCUUGGUGGCAUCUUGGAGGACCUUGGGGACACCAAAGGGGACCUUGGUGGCAUCUCAGAGGGGUUGGGGUCACCCAAGAGGAGCUUGGUGGCAUCUUGGAGGACCUUGGUGGCAUCUUGGAGGACCUUGGGGUCAUCCAGGAGGAGCUUGGGGACACCUAAAGGGACCUUGGUGGCACCUUGGAGGACCUUGGUGGCACCUUGGAGGACCUUGGGGACACCUAAAGGGACCUUGGUGGCAUCUUGGAGGACCUUGGGGACAAUAAAGGGCACCUUGGUGGCAUCUGAGAGGGGUUUGGCGUCAUCCAGGAGGACCUUGGUGGCAUCUUGGACGACCUUGGGGUCAUCCAGGAGGAGCUUGGGGACACCUAAGGGGACCUUGGUGGCAUCUUGGAGGACCUUGGUGGCAUUUUGGAGGACCUUGGGGACAAGUAAAGGCACCUUGGUGGCAUCUUGGAGGACCUUGGUGGCAUCUUGGAGGAGCUUGGGGACACCUAAGGGGACCUUGGUGGCAUCUCAGAGGGGUUUGGGGUCACCCAGGAGGAGCUUGGUGGCAUCUUGGAGGAGUUUGGGGACAAGUAAGGGGAGCUUGGUGGCAUCUUGGAGGACCUUGGUGGCACCUUGGAGGACCUUGGGGACACCUAAGGGGACCUUGGUGGCAUCUUGGAGGACCUUGGGGACAAUAAAGGGGACCUUGGUGGCA